Molecule: small nuclear RNA, 196 nt
Filed under: Morus notabilis
Lineage: Eukaryota; Viridiplantae; Streptophyta; Magnoliopsida; Rosales; Moraceae
Description: U2 spliceosomal RNA
Rfam family: U2 spliceosomal RNA
About the family: U2 is a small nuclear RNA (snRNA) component of the spliceosome (involved in pre-mRNA splicing). Complementary binding between U2 snRNA (in an area lying towards the 5' end but 3' to hairpin I) and the branchpoint sequence (BPS) of the intron results the bulging out of an unpaired adenosine, on the BPS, which initiates a nucleophilic attack at the intronic 5' splice site, thus starting the first of two transesterification reactions that mediate splicing.
Source: Rfam by way of RNAcentral
AUACCUUUCUCGGCCUUUUGGCUAAGAUCAAGUGUAGUAUCUGUUCUUAUCAGUUUAAUAUCUGAUACGUGGGUUAUUAACUCACAUGAUAUUAAAUUAAUUUUUUUAGGGGGAGGGCCCACUACAAUAGCUUGCUACUGGGGUCCUUAAGCGUCGCCCAUGCGUUGCACUAGAGCACGGGCCUGACGCACCCCAC